UUCCUACGGGUGGCAGCAGUGGGGAAUAUUGGACAAUGGGGGCAACCCUGAUCCAGCCAUGCCGCGUGAGUGAUGAAGGCCUUCGGGUUGUAAAGCUCUUUUGGCGGGGACGAUGAUGACGGUACCCGCAGAAUAAGCCCCGGCUAACUUCGUGCCAGCAGCCGCGGUAAGACGAAGGGGGCUAGCGUUGUUCGGAAUUACUGGGCGUAAAGCGAGUGUAGGUGGUUUUCCAAGUUGGAUGUGAAAGCCUUGAGCUCAACUCAAGAAAUGCAUUCAGGACUGGAUGACUAGAGGACCGGAGAGGAUAGUGGAAUUCCCAGUGUAGUGGUGAAAUACGUAGAGAUUGGGAAGAACACCAGUGGCGAAGGCGGCUAUCUGGACGGUUUCUGACACUAAGACUCGAAAGCGUGGGGAGCAAACAGGAUUAGAUACCCUUGUAGUCCU
RNAcentral lists this ribosomal RNA (444 nucleotides) under uncultured Rhodospirillaceae bacterium. RNAcentral describes it as "bacterial SSU rRNA". It matches the Rfam family "Bacterial small subunit ribosomal RNA", at positions 336 to 797 of the family's 1533-position model. Lineage: Bacteria; Pseudomonadati; Pseudomonadota; Alphaproteobacteria; Rhodospirillales; Rhodospirillaceae. The record is from RNAcentral.